Molecule: unclassified non-coding RNA, 355 nt
Filed under: Hevea brasiliensis (rubber tree)
Lineage: Eukaryota; Viridiplantae; Streptophyta; Magnoliopsida; Malpighiales; Euphorbiaceae
Source: RNAcentral
AAAGAUUUGGGGUCGGCUAUAUGGUUUGAUUAGUUUAUUUGGUAGAUGAGCUUUUGUUUUUAGCUUGCCAUUUCUAUCCAGAAAAAGAACAAAAAAAAUUAAAAAUUGAAAUUAGAAUUCGUCUGAUUUGGUUUUAAAAUAUGAAAACCUGAAUGACAAAAUGAAAGAACAAAUCUGUGAAAUUUGUUUUUGAACUGAAUCAGAUUAAUGAAAUGUGUCAAUUUGAUUCAUUAAGUUGUUUAACGGGGUACUACUUGCUUUUACUGGAUCAAAUAAUUUCUAUAUUGAAAAACAUGGUUUCUCAUUUUUGCUUAAUCAAAAUUUUAACUAGUUGGCAUAGUUAUUAAAGGCUCAA